Molecule: non-coding RNA, 2336 nt
Organism: Schizosaccharomyces pombe (fission yeast)
Lineage: Eukaryota; Fungi; Ascomycota; Schizosaccharomycetes; Schizosaccharomycetales; Schizosaccharomycetaceae
Source: the annotation of a GenBank genome assembly
UUGCGAAUUCCCUUUUUUUUUUUAAUUAAAUGGCAAACGACUGUAGGAUGUCAAUAAUCUCUAAAGCAGUAGUGCUAGCAAAGUUCAACGCAGAAUGUCCACUUUAAAGUUGCAGAUAACCAAUUUGGUACAAACUCGUUUAAGCCCUAGAUGUAAAAUCCAAAACUUUUGACUUUUUAGAGGGAAGGCCUUACUUUUAUAAUUGUAAUACGGAUUGCUUUUCUGAUACCCUUGUUUGUGUGCCGAUAAGGAACGACCGAUAAUGGAACUAAGUAUAUUUUGUAGUCAAGUUAUCACGGCGUACCAUUUAAGCUCAGUCAAUAUAAAAGGGUCGAAUAUCAUCAUACUAGCUCAAUGUCACGGCCAAGCAAGUUUGCCUAGAUACCGCGCAGUUAAAUCUAGCGUAGGGCAAUUAGGACAAAACCUCGUUAAAAACAAGUGUGUCUCAUAAGGAAUCGGUGGUUGGACCAAAAUCUUACAAUAUCGUAAAGAAAACGCAUUUAAUGAAGCAACUGCUCUUGAAUUUUAACACCUGUAAAAAAAUAUAAAUGAGAAAGCAACGUCAAAUGUACUUUCUUUUCGAAUUGACCAGUACCGAAGCAUAAGCGAAGCUAUAAUACCAAUUAACGAAGCGGUCAAAAAUCGUUGGCCGAAAUUGAAAUGCGACUGUCGAGGGCAAGCCGCCAAAGGCAUAGGUAGUAUAGAAAGCAGAUAGUCUAUGUAAAAAUCGGCGCAGAAGCAAAAUUAAAGCGAUUUUAGGGUUGACUCUAAACGCUUUCAAUGGAAGGACUCAAUAACUUCUAUUCACUUUCCACAAGUUUUGUUGUUUUUAGAGAAAUUGAUUGUGCGAUUGAAAUUUGAUUGAGCAGAAUAAUGACAAUUACAAAAGGCAAUGUUUAACGCCUGCCUGACUGCGUAUGGGGAGUAUAUUUACGCGUCGAUAUCUGAUUUCGUGGUCGCCUAUACAAAUGCAGCAAAGACACGAAAAAGAACAGAGGAAACUGAAAAUUGGGCAAGCUGGUUAUAAAAUUAGUAACAAAUAUUAGGGGAAAUUGUUUGUUUUUCGCAUUGUGGUGGAGUAAAAACCGACAAUCAACUUGGCCAACUAAAUAAACUUGAUCACUAGGUUUGAAAAAACAUUUAAUACCUUUACCGCAUCUCCAAUUCUUUUUCUUUACAUGAUUUUCCGUUUCAUGGAGAGUUGGUCUUCUUCGUGGUGGAAAAGUACCUAUUAAAAUACCCAUCCAAAAGUAUACUAUGUAAACAACUGUUUAGGUAACAUGUACCUUAGCAUUGGAAAAGGCAAAGCGAAAGAAGGAAAUAAAGUGGAAGAAUGCCAGUGUUUAGAGAUGAUGAAAUAAAAGAGUUUACAGCUCUCGUUUUAUCGACAUUGACAUGGUAUUUUUGUAUGGAAAUGAGAUGGUAAAAAUACUCGUGUUGUUUGCUAUAUCCUACUUAGCAGUUCAUUCUCUUUUCUUCUCUUCUCUGAAAAGCUAUAACAUAAAUACUUCAUCAUUUUUUAUUUUAUUUGCAAAAUACUUUUAUUGGUUUUUCUCUCGAUGUGCUAUUUCCAUGGAAAUCACUUGGUCUUUUGCUUGUAAACAAUAAAUGAAACGUUGCGAUUUACUAAUUACAAUUAAGUACUACGUUAACAUAGUUUUCUUCUAUAUUAUUAUAUUUAUAUCGUGUAUCACUUUAUACGUGUAUAUAGUUAUAUUAUUUGACUUAGAUAAAACAGCCGCAUCUUCUUUGCCAGCUAUCUAAUCUCGUGCCGAUGUAAAUAAAACAUCAAUUUUCGUCUCGGGCAACAUCACCAUGGUCAACUUCAAUAUUUCGUGUACGGCAGGUAAAUUUUCAUGGGCGUCUGCACCCUACGAGGCAAUUUCCAGCCCAACGGAAGCGUGUAGGAUGAAUGGGAGCUAAUUCGUUAAGACAGUGCCAUACCUGGAUUCAUUCAGGCUAAGGGUCUGAUAUUGAAUGUGUAGAUCCACAGAAUGUGGGUCUCUUCAGCACUAAUAAACAAGAGAAUCGUGCUUUUCUGCGCAGAUAAUUACUCGUUUAUCCAUCUCUGUUUACACUCUCGCUAUGUCACACGCCGAUACCAAACGUCGUUGGAAAACGGAAAGCUUGAUGUUUUUUACAAAUCAUUACUUAAACAAAGUGAAACUUACAUAAAUUCUUCGAACUUUCUUCUGUAUACGUAAGGUGGAACAAUGUUUAAUUGUGAUUUUCCAUAGUUCCCCGGUAUAUGUCUAGCGUCGGCCUGCUACUAUCUAGGCAGUUUUCCGAAAUUAACAUUUGUCCGCUCUGUAAAUAAAAUAAAGUAUUCCGCUAUA